UCGCCAAGAAGCCCCUUUGCCUUCUGUUGGGUGAGGCCCCUGACAAGCCAGUCCCUGGGGUACAGGAUUCUGUCUCCAGGUAGAGCACCCUUUCCCUGUCUUCCAGCCCGCGGGGCUCUCUCUGCCCCACCCCCCUCCGAGAAGGAGUCCUUGUCUCCUUUUGAC
Molecule: long non-coding RNA, 165 nt
Organism: Camelus ferus (Wild Bactrian camel)
Lineage: Eukaryota; Metazoa; Chordata; Mammalia; Artiodactyla; Camelidae
Rfam family: Smith-Magenis syndrome chromosome region, candidate 2 conserved region 2
Source: Rfam